AAACAAAAAUAUCACCUACAAUCACUCUUCUUCUAACAAGGGAUGACAUUAACCAGCAACUAUAAGUCACGAUUCGGAACAACCGAUAGUAUCAAGUACCGAAAACCACUAUUUAGCUUACACCUUUCGCGUCGCGUCACCGUUAUCAAAAACGUUAUCAGAGCAGCGAGGUAAGGUUGAUAAAAUUGUAGACUGACUCUUUCCCAUCACCUUGCUUGCUUUAGGGGCGAUGUUUUCACUCAACGCAUCAACAAUAACAACAUCACCGCUGAGUGACAGCUAACCGCACUCUACACGCUCGAUGCAUCUCGUGUGGGGCCGUUGAAUCACUAACCGGCUAGUGAUCGCUCGGUUGGUGUCCCACACCUUCACGCGUACGGAUUGAAUUGAAUGGAACCGCAAACGGUACGAGUGAUUCCAGCAUGAGCAAAUCCCACCGAAACAGCUGAUUCACGGUUAAAGUUUUGGAAUACUUUCAAUUUCACGGGACAACGAUACACUCCGCGUGGUUGACGAGUUUGGAAGUAUUAUAGUAACUGGUACGCUUUGAUUGACACUAUUCCACGCCCAUGGCGUAACGAACCGCAGACCGUGUGCCAAAACUGUCCACAGCAGUAAUGCAAAUCGGCCUCGUCUGUUAGUGUAGAAACUGCUGGCUCUGUCAAAUGAGUAUGUCUACGAUAGAUGGAAUUACUACACUACAACCGGCACCGCCUUCAUUCAACUACUCAGUUUAAAACAAAUAUCGACGAAAAAGCUCGCCAGACACUUACAGAGAACACAGGAGAAGUGUAAAAGCAGAAAGAGAAAAAGUCAACAAAUAUGGUUAAUAAAAAAAGCCGUCUUUACCAUGAA
Molecule: long non-coding RNA, 855 nt
Organism: Ochlerotatus camptorhynchus
Lineage: Eukaryota; Metazoa; Arthropoda; Insecta; Diptera; Culicidae
Exons: 2
Source: RefSeq, a predicted model, not a curated record